This is a long non-coding RNA of Poecilia latipinna (sailfin molly), 611 nucleotides long. RefSeq lists it as uncharacterized. Lineage: Eukaryota; Metazoa; Chordata; Actinopteri; Cyprinodontiformes; Poeciliidae. The record is from RefSeq and is a predicted model, not a curated record. The transcript is spliced from 2 exons.
CAUUGUGCGUCAUUCCUUCAUUGUAACUUGGAGUAAUGUUUGUGUGGGCAUCAACGCUACUGCUGCAUUUAGCAGUAAAUCAAUAAAAAAAGCAUUGAGUGUUAUCUGUUUUUAGAUAACUUAUGCAUUACACUAUAUGAUGCAUAUGAAAGUAGAGGUUCACUUCACGGCGCCACUCUUCAAUCUCAUGCGUCGAGGCUUUUCUUGGAAUGUUCUGGUGAACUGCUAGGUAACCACUCCCCUCUGCCACUCCCCUUUGCUGCACCUUUCUGCAGCUCUUCUCUCCCUGUUGGUGAGGAGAACCAGGUGGACUCAAUCUCCUAGCAAUCAGAGUGCAGCUACUUUUGGCUGACUGACCUGUCACUCCUGUUUGAGAGCAUGAGAAGCAGACAGUGCUGGUAGCAUGUAGAUUCAGAACUGUGUAAAAGUUUCUACAAACUGUGAAAGACAGCCGGUUUUUCAACUACAUUCUAUGGGUUAUGUGCUAUGUGGACCAUCAUACGAAAAAUAAAGAUGAGUCAACUAAAUUAAAGGCUCUGAGUAAAAUCCAGUUCAAACUUCACAGUGGAAACUAUCCCUUUCAAGUGGGGAAUCGCACAGUAAACCUAACC